Populus euphratica (Euphrates poplar) is the source of this 1462-nucleotide long non-coding RNA. RefSeq lists it as uncharacterized. The record is from RefSeq and is a predicted model, not a curated record. The transcript is spliced from 2 exons. NCBI's taxonomy places the organism in Eukaryota, Viridiplantae, Streptophyta, Magnoliopsida, Malpighiales, Salicaceae.
AAACAAUCAUUCUCUCUAAAAAGAAAUGACUAGUUUAAAAUAGAAAAAAUUAAAAGGAAAAAUCACAAUAGUUAUCUCUCCUUUCACCUUGCCGAAGUCCGGCAGCCAUCAUUCUCUCUUUGUUUUUUCUUUUCUUCUAGUCAAUCCAUUACUGACCGCCAUAUCCUCCAACCAAAACAAAGCACACUAAUCCGAAACAUCUACAAAUCAAAUAUACUUUCCCUUCUCUCAUCAAGCGACUACCACCAUCACUAAUCAUCCACUGUUCAUCCUUUUCAUUGCCAUUUUCCAAACCCUCACGCUGUUAAAACACUCAACACAACCCAAAUCAAUGUCCUCUUUCUAACCGAGCCAGUUCAACCCACCCUUGAACCUUUCUUGAACCGACCUCCACCUGAAUCACACCACCAGGUCAUUGUGGACCUGAAUCAUGCACAUCACCAACGAUAUUAGUAAAAACCUAACACAUAAAAAAACUUGUUUGAAAUGGAAGUAGAAAAAGGGCUUAAACCUCUGAUCAUAUUGGGAAAAGUGUGAAUCACUGUUAGUGGUAACCAGUGGAAAGGGAUUGAAAGCUUAAAUUUCUAGCAAUUGUUUGCAGGUUUGGUGCCCGCGUCCCACAUUCACCGCCGUCCCACAUGCGGCAAACAUGCCAGCGCGUCCAGCACAUAUGCCACCACUAUGUACCAGUUCCUGUUCCAGCAGUGUUCCAGGUCCUCUCCAGGCAUUCCUUUUCGUCUCAAAUCUUACCACUCGGAUGCCACAUUGGAGCAUUCUUUAUCUCUUGAUUAUUUACCAGGAAUACUGAAUACAUAAAGAAGUAACUCCAUGAGCCAGAUGCUACCUUUUUAAUUAUUGAUCUGAAGGCUUCUGUAUAGAAAGCGUUUUGCUGCAAACUUUUCUAACUGUUAUAAAGGUUCUGUAUAGAAAGGUUCCUCCAAACUAAUUGUGAGAGGAAAAUAUCAUAUGCUUGCAACAGUAAGGAUCUUGAACACAGUGAUGGUCAAAUAGCCUAAGCUAUUAGGUUAUGGGGCCAUCCUUAUAUAGAAACACUGAAGCUUCUUCUUCUUCUUCUUCUUCAUUUUAUCUUUAAUUCAGAGUAAAUAUUAAAGUUUUAUGUGCUGGUCUAGUCGUCGGCUUUGAAAACAGACCUCCCAUCUAAAUUACACUACAGGACCAAGAGGGAUAGAGCAACAGCUGGGCAUAAGAGAAAGAAAGAAAAAAUAGAAUCACACGCUUGGGACAUCAACAUUCGACAUCAACAUUUGAACCUAGAAGGAAGUUAUGUACAUGCUUGUAACAGAAGCAGCAGUAGGUUCUACACAGAUUCAAUGCAUUGGAGUGAGAAAACUUAUAAUAUUAACUGCAAUGUCAAAGGGGUGCGUCAGAAUCAGCCGCCCCAGGAAUAUUUUAGAGCCUAGUAUGCUUAAUCAAUUUAACUCUUUUGCUUCUUUCGUACGUA